This 75-nucleotide transfer RNA is filed under the name Candidatus Uhrbacteria bacterium. RNAcentral describes it as "tRNA-Thr". It matches the Rfam family "tRNA". From Rfam's summary of the family: Transfer RNA (tRNA) molecules are approximately 80 nucleotides in length. Their secondary structure includes four short double-helical elements and three loops (D, anti-codon, and T loops). The record is from RNAcentral. Lineage: Bacteria; Candidatus Uhriibacteriota.
GCCGGUGUAGCUCAGUGGUAGAGCAGCGCUUUUGUAAAGCGAAGGUCGUGGGUUCAAUCCCCUCCACCGGCUCCA